This 492-nucleotide ribosomal RNA is filed under the name Staphylococcus epidermidis. RNAcentral describes it as "bacterial SSU rRNA". It matches the Rfam family "Bacterial small subunit ribosomal RNA", at positions 1 to 475 of the family's 1533-position model. Lineage: Bacteria; Bacillati; Bacillota; Bacilli; Caryophanales; Staphylococcaceae. The record is from RNAcentral.
UUUAUGGAGAGUUUGAUCCUGGCUCAGGAUGAACGCUGGCGGCGUGCCUAAUACAUGCAAGUCGAGCGAACAGAUGAGGAGCUUGCUCCUCUGACGUUAGCGGCGGACGGGUGAGUAACACGUGGAUAACCUACCUAUAAGACUGGGAUAACUUCGGGAAACCGGAGCUAAUACCGGAUAAUAUAUUGAACCGCAUGGUUCAAUAGUGAAAGACGGUUUUGCUGUCACUUAUAGAUGGAUCCGCGCCGCAUUAGCUAGUUGGUAAGGUAACGGCUUACCAAGGCAACGAUGCGUAGCCGACCUGAGAGGGUGAUCGGCCACACUGGAACUGAGACACGGUCCAGACUCCUACGGGAGGCAGCAGUAGGGAAUCUUCCGCAAUGGGCGAAAGCCUGACGGAGCAACGCCGCGUGAGUGAUGAAGGUCUUCGGAUCGUAAAACUCUGUUAUUAGGGAAGAACAAAUGUGUAAGUAACUAUGCACGUCUUGACGG